GAUGAACGCUAGCGGCGUGCCUUAUGCAUGCAAGUCGAACGAGGUGCUUAAGUAGCAAUACGAGAGUAUCCUAGUGGCGAACGGGUGAGUAACGCGUUGGUGACCUACCCCGAAGUGUGGGAUAACAGUCCGAAAGGAUUGCUAAUACCGCAUGUGGUCAUUGGAUUUAGAAACCGAUGACUAAAGCAGUAAUGCGCUUUGGGAGGGACCUGCGUCCCAUCAGCUAGUUGGUGAGGUAACGGCCCACCAAGGCGACGACGGGUAGGGGACCUGAGAGGGUGGCCCCCCACAAUGGAACUGAAACACGGUCCAUACACCUACGGGAGGCUG
This 330-nucleotide ribosomal RNA is filed under the name uncultured Chloroflexota bacterium. RNAcentral's name for it is "bacterial SSU rRNA". It matches the Rfam family "Bacterial small subunit ribosomal RNA", at positions 28 to 351 of the family's 1533-position model. The record is from RNAcentral. Lineage: Bacteria; Bacillati; Chloroflexota.